AGGUUGGACGGAUAGAAAGCUGUCUUAAUAAGUUGUAUUGAAUUUAACAUUUGUGUGAAAAGGCAUAAAUAAAUUUAGGGGACGAUAAGACCCUAUAAAAUUUAACAUAUAAUAAUUUCUUUUUUUAAUGGUUAAUUAAUUUAUAAAGCGAUUUAAGGUGUUUUGCUGGGGCGGCAUUGAUAUAAUUUUGUAACUGUCAUAAGAAUUUAAUAUAGGUUUAUAGAUUAUGGUCCUUUAUUAAGGAGUGAAGAUUAAGUUACUUUAGGGAUAACAGCAUAAUUUUUUCUGAGAGUUCUUAUCGAAGAAAUAAGUUGUGACCUCGAUGUUGAAUUAAAAUAUUCCUCUGGAAGCAGGAGUUUAGAAGGAAGGACUGUU
RNAcentral lists this ribosomal RNA (375 nucleotides) under Synalpheus aff. apioceros A KMH-2014. RNAcentral's name for it is "partial 16S ribosomal RNA". Lineage: Eukaryota; Metazoa; Arthropoda; Malacostraca; Decapoda; Alpheidae. The record is from RNAcentral.